RNAcentral lists this ribosomal RNA (518 nucleotides) under uncultured bacterium. RNAcentral's name for it is "bacterial SSU rRNA". It matches the Rfam family "Bacterial small subunit ribosomal RNA", at positions 29 to 518 of the family's 1533-position model. The record is from RNAcentral.
ACGAACGCUGGCGGACGUGCCUAAUACAUGCAAGUCGAACGGUCUUUCUAUGGAAGCUUGCUUCCACUGAGAAGAUAGUGGCGAACGGGUGAGUAACACGUGGGUAACCUGCCCAUAAGAGGGGGAUAACAUCCGGAAACGGGUGCUAAUACCGCAUAGGUUUUCUUGAUCGCAUGAUUGAGAAAGGAAAGACGGCCUUUGUGCUGUCGCUUAUGGAUGGACCCGCGGCGUAUUAGUUAGUUGGUGAGGUAACGGCUCACCAAGACGAUGAUACGUAGCCGACCUGAGAGGGUGAUCGGCCACAUUGGGACUGAGACACGGCCCAAACUCCUACGGGAGGCAGCAGUAGGGAAUCUUCCGCAAUGGACGAAAGUCUGACGGAGCAACGCCGCGUGAGUGAAGAAGGUUUUCGGAAUCGUAAAACUCUGUUGUCAGAGAAGAACAAGUUGGAGAGUAACUGCUCCAGCCUUGACGGUAUCUGACCAGAAAGCCACGGCUAACUACGUGCCAGCAGCAGC